This 497-nucleotide ribosomal RNA is filed under the name uncultured bacterium. RNAcentral's name for it is "partial 16S ribosomal RNA". It matches the Rfam family "Bacterial small subunit ribosomal RNA", at positions 28 to 507 of the family's 1533-position model. The record is from RNAcentral.
GAUGAACGCUGGCGGCGUGCCUAAUACAUGCAAGUCGAGCGAACGGACGAGAAGCUUGCUUCUCUGAUGUUAGCGGCGGACGGGGGAGUAACACGUGGAUAACCUACCUAUAAGACUGGGAUAACUUCGGGAAACCGGAGCUAAUACCGGAUGAUAUUUUGAACCGCAUGGUUAAAAAGUGAAAGACGGUCUUGCUGUAACUUAUAGAUGGAUCCGCGCUGCAUUAGCUAGUUGGUAAGGUAACGGCUUACCAAGGCAACGAUGCAUAGCCGACCUGAGAGGGUGAUCGGCCACACUGGAACUGAGACACGGUCCAGACUCCUACGGGAGGCAGCAGUAGGGAAUCUUCCGCAAUGGGCGAAAGCCUGACGGAGCAACGCCGCGUGAGUGAUGAAGGUCUUCGGAUCGUAAAACUCUGUUAUUAGGGAAGAACAUAUGUGUAAGUAACUGUGCACAUCUUGACGGUACCUAAUCAGAAAGCCACGGCUAACUACGUG